This 253-nucleotide ribosomal RNA is filed under the name uncultured bacterium. Its description in RNAcentral is "partial 16S ribosomal RNA". It matches the Rfam family "Bacterial small subunit ribosomal RNA", at positions 524 to 776 of the family's 1533-position model. The record is from RNAcentral.
GACGAGGGAUCCUAGCGUUGUUCGGAAUCAUUGGGCGUAAAGCGGGUGUAGGUGGCUUUGUAAGUCAGGUGUGAAAGCCCAGGGCUCAACCCUGGAACUGCAUUUGAUACUGCGAAGCUUGAGUGCUGGAGAGGCUAUUAGAAUUCCUGGUGUAGUGGUGAAAUACGUAGAUAUCAGGAGGAAUACCGGAGGCGAAGGCGGAUAGCUAGCCAGACACUGACACUCAGACCCGAAAGUGUGGGGAUCAAACAGG